CGCGGUGAGGCCGGCGGGCAGGUGAGGACGGGCGGCGCCGCGGCCCGACCAGCGCGGCUCCCGCAGCCCCGCCGAAGCCCCGGCUGCAGCGAAGCGGCCAGUGCCGCGCGGAGCGGAAUCGGCGCCGCCUGCUCCCGCCGCCCCCUCCUCUGCAGGCCGCCCGCCCGCCCACCCGCGGAAGAGGCGCCCGGGCCGCUCCCCUCGAGGUCCCCGCCCGACCCACGCCGUUCCGUUCGCGCCUCCAGGGCCAGGUCCCGCCAGGCCGGCCUCGCAGCUCCCGGGGCCGAGACCCCAAGCGUGAGCCGGGUGGGCGCAGGACUCUCGGAGGUUUUCCGAACUCCGCUCCCUCGGCUUGGGACCCGCCCGGCUAGUCCCAACAGCGGCCCGGCGGCCGUAGGCCCCGCGCUCUGUGCGCCAGGGAAAAGCAGCUCCCGAGUUAUGCCGGACGCCCCUGCGCCCCGCCGUCAGCCGUUCCCGGCCCCUCGGUGAGGCGCCCCCUUCCCGCCGCGCUCUGCUGCCGGGUGCCCUUGGCCUCGGCCUCUCGUGACCUCUGACCCCUCUUGGUGCGAACAAGGCCAGGCGUUUCGCCGCCGACGCGAAGGGGCUGUCUGUGCGCGGCGUUGCGGACCCUCCGCGCGUGGGGUGUACGUGUGCGUGUUCGGGUUCGGUUCUGUGUGUGCACCGCGGGCCUGCUCAGAGUCGGGGCCACCGGGCUGCGUGUGGGCCACCAGGUCAGGCCCUAGCCCAGGAUGGGCCCGAAGCUGGAGCGAAAAAGGGGAAAGCGGCCGCGCUGACGCCGGGGCCUUCGCUGCAAGCGAGAGGCGGACUCGGCGCACCCGCGCGGCCUCGGAAACUUCCAAGAGGCCCCGGCUCUCCGCUGGCUCCACCUCUGCCAGGUGGGGAAGAUGGCCCGGGACCGGGUCCGCUCAAGACCAGAACUGGUGCCUGGCAGCCGUCUGGUGGCCUGGCCCGGAGGCCGGAGAGCCGGGCCCAGGGGGAGCGCCGAGCGCUGGCUUCCUUUUCCCGAGAGUCUUUAGUGAGGAAAAACCCCAUGAGAGGUGAUUGCAAGGCCUCAGCCCUCUGCCCACACUUGGCCGAGCGCUGGGAACCCCUCCUUCCGGGCUCCACAGCUGGGACCGCUUGUCCCCAGGCCCCCCAAGGUGGCUGAGGCAGGUUUGGGAUCACACUGCCUGCCCUGAGCAAGGCAGGAUCCGCUGAAGAAUUUCAUUUCAUCAGGCGAUAUUUUAAGCAGAUGUGGACUUCCCCAGGGACCACAGUCCAUUACCCGAAUCAAAGGCGGUAGGGCCAGCACUGCAGCCAGCAGGUCCUCCCCUCCCCACAAUGCUGACCAGGUCAGGGGACUGUGGGGUGGGGCAGGGGCAAGGUCAUGGUUACCAGGCUGGUAUUCAGGCUGGGCACAGAACAGCCACCAGGCCAGUGGAGGCGACCCCAUGACCCAGCGUUUUGGGGGCCACCGCCGAGUGUGCAUCUGGAGGUGUAAUCUCGUUUGUGUUUCCCUGGAGACGCCAUUCCAAGCCUCCUUCAGAAACAGGCCAGGCUGACUGGACCCUCCCCUCUCCCACCCUCCCUGGGGAAGUUGGCCUCUUCCACCAGUCCCCUCCCCGGAGCCAGGACGGCAGCCUUCCGUCUGGAGGCGGGUUAGGGCAGCAGCGCCAGGACGUCCGGCGGGAGUCCAGCCUCUUGCCCCGCUUCGGACGAAAACAUAGAGGCUGCGGUGGAGGGGUGGAGUGCAGGGCUGGCCGCCAGGGCCUGGUGCCCCACGGCAGGAGGCUGUGUGUCGCCCACAGGCCCUCCCUGUGCCCCUGGCUUCGCAGGUGUGCCAUGGCUCGGAAGCUGGCAGGAGGGGGCUUGCCAAGCUGGCUUUGGAGCAACUGCUGGGUGGGCUCCUUGGGGACAGGCGCUGGCCAUGCCCUAGGCUCGCCAACCACCAGACACCCACUGGGGGCGUCCUGCUUGUCCUGUGAGCGGCUCUUCCAGAGCAGGUGCUGGCCAGACCUCCUGGCCCCUCCUGGCCCCAAGGCUUCCUCCGCUCCCAAGCCGUCCUCUGGGCAGUGCGCAGAGCAGGGGACCAGGGCUGCCGUUUCUGCCGGGAGGCUGUGGGGGAAGGUGGCCCGGCAGCCAGGGGCUCCCCCCACCAGGCCCCUCAAGGGAGGCGAGGCUGGUGGCAGCUCGCUGGGACGCCGUGGGCCCGAUUAGCCCCCUGUUUUAUUCAAUUAGGAGGCAAUUAGGGAUCCUUGGGGGGCUGGGGCUGGUAAUUAAGGUGAUGUAUAAUUAGAGUUUCAACAAAAAUUAUCCAGGAUUAAAAAUCUUUUGAAUAAUUUCGUUUAAAAUUUUCAAAUAGCGUUAAAUACAAUUUAUCAGGUUUUGAAUCAAACCCGUGUAACAAGUCUUGGAAGCUGCAGCUCCCGUCGCCGGCGCGGGAGGACCAGGAGCAGCUCCGGCGACUUGCCCGUGCGGGAAAGAAACUUCGCGAGCGAAGCCAGCUGGCUGGGGCCUCGCCGCGGUGCAGCGGCGGCCGCGGGCUCAGAAUCGGGCCGCCGAGGGCUGCAGACGGCGCGGGCCGGGUCGGGGAGCGGGGCCUGGGAGACCCCUGGCCGGCUGGUGGUCUAGGCAGACUUCCCGCUCCCCGCGCACAAAGUCGCGGCCAAUUACCGCGGAGCAGCGCCCGCGUCUACACAGCGCAGCCUGGCGCCCCGACCCUGGCCGGGCGGGAGCGGCUCUCUCCCCUUCUAGAGCCCCAGCUUGGACCCGAGGGUCCCCUCCUCCUGGCCUCCCUUGCGGAGGAGGGCAGCCUCCGCGUCCCCAACCACCGACCCUCGACCUCGUGCGGGACACCGUGGGCGCCAGGCCCCUUUUUGCCUCGGUUCCCUGCGGCAUCCCCGACCCGCGCCCCGAGAGACGCGGGAGCGCGCGCCGCCUGAGCUUAAGUAGGGGCUGUAGGGAGAGGGAAGUGCAGAGAAACCGAGGCAGAGGGUGGGGAUCCGGCUUUCGAGGGUAGACCUGCCUGCCCAGUCUGAUCCGCAGCCUGGGCUCCUGCUGGGCAACCGCGGGAGACUGGCAGGGCUUCCUAGCGUACUUGGAAGACAGGACACCUCCUCCCUUCACUGACCCCGGGAAGACAGAGUGCAGAGGAGCAGGCACCACUUUUGGAAGUGAGAAAUCCCAGGCGCAGAGAGGUGGAGUAACUCUUGGGAGGCCACACAGCAAAUUGAGGGCUCCACUGAAAUUCAGUGAAAUGAAGACCUCCAGGGAUUCUUAUGUAGCAUUCCCCUCCCCCACAGAGCACUGCAGGCUGCUGCUAAUUCCAUAGGGUGUGCGUGUGUGUGUGUGUGUGUCAGGGUUUAAGCAUUUUCUCAAGGCCAGUGCUCAACUUGUAGCAGGUCUGUUCUUAAAAAGCAGGCAGGACGUCACACGCGUCCAGCGUGUAAGUGACCUCACACCUGUAGGCUGGAUUCCUGCUUCGCAGGGUCUGGACUCCUGCUGGGCUCCAUCCCCCACCGCUCCUGCCCCUGCUGUGGGUGUCCUGCCCCCAAAGGCAGGCACAGAGGAGCAGAAACCUUGGUCAGGUGGCCUGGCCUGCGCCCUCCACACCCCCUCGCUCACUGCCUUAGGAGAAAUGCAGGAGGUUCAGGUUGGUCCAGGAGGUGUAGGACCUGCCCCUUGCCACCCCUCAGAUCUGGAGGCGAAUAACCACCCCCACCCCCUCCCCCCUCCCCACCCGCAUCUCAGCAAUCAAGGGGAGGUGGAGCUGCUGCUGCCCUGUUGGUCUGAGCUACAGGGCAGAAAGGGAUGGCAGCCGACGUCUCUGGUCCAGCCUGGCAUGGGCCGUGACUCCUCAAGUCUGGGUGUCUCCUAGGCUGCAGCAGGGCCACGGUGGCCGUUCUGGGCCAGGAGUGCUCCCAAGCUUCGGUGGGCCCAGAGCAGGGGAGGGGUGGCCUCUUCCUGCUCUGACCACUUCACUCUUGGGCUUUUGCCAUCAAAUCCUCCACGGUCUGGAGGUGCCUGGGCUGGCCCGCCUGGCGGGCCUAGCCUGAGAGGCAGGAACAAUGCCCUGAGGCCUGAAGACAGGAGUGCCGGCCCCUCCAAGACCAUAUUUGUUUAAUAGUUAACAUUUUGGACAAAAAAGGAGGGAAGUCAGAUUCUGGUGAAGGUUUUGCUUAUUUUAUAUCCACUAUAACUAUUUCUGUCCAUGAAAAUUGGCUUAAUUAUAUCAAUGGAAUGUUUCUUUUUCAAUUCUGUAUGCAAUUAGUCCAUCUUGCCGGCUGCAAUUUAUUUUAAUAAAAAAAUAAACCAGUGGUGUGUUCAGUUCCUCGUCCCCUGGGGACAAAUGCGA
Molecule: non-coding RNA, 4354 nt
Organism: Macaca mulatta (Rhesus monkey)
Lineage: Eukaryota; Metazoa; Chordata; Mammalia; Primates; Cercopithecidae
Source: RefSeq, a predicted model, not a curated record